AACAUUUCGAAUCCGUGUACAGAUUUCAUCAGACACCAACCCAUUAGGACUGAUCAGACUUCUAAGAUGAGUGAUGGU
This is a non-coding RNA of Schistosoma curassoni, 78 nucleotides long. The record is from Rfam. Lineage: Eukaryota; Metazoa; Platyhelminthes; Trematoda; Strigeidida; Schistosomatidae.